This is a long non-coding RNA of Manihot esculenta (cassava), 3459 nucleotides long. RefSeq lists it as uncharacterized. The record is from RefSeq and is a predicted model, not a curated record. The transcript has 3 exons. NCBI's taxonomy places the organism in Eukaryota, Viridiplantae, Streptophyta, Magnoliopsida, Malpighiales, Euphorbiaceae.
AAAGUUUGCAUCACUUCUCCAGAACCAUCUAAAGAAGACUCCAUUUUGAUCUCUCAUGUCCCUCCUAAGCUUUAUUUCUCAAAUAACUACCAUAACUCUGCAUGAAACCAAUAAAUCUGGCCUUUAAUCCUCCAUUUGCAGCCCUUUGUUUCAUAUCCUUUACCGCAGCUUCCGUAGCUUGUGCUGGUAUUGGAAGUGGAACUUGAUCCAUAGCCAGCUUUAAAGAGACCGUAUUUGUUGCCGGAGUCAAGCCUGCCACUCGCACUGUAGUUGACUCAGCUAGUCUGUUGAAGGUCUCAGAGGAAUCAAAUCCGGGAAGCGAUAGGCUGAUUAAAUUCCGUCACUAGCUCCAAAUGGUUUAUAGCUGGACCUGUUAGAAGGCUCUGUACUUCAUAAAGCAGAAUUGUAGAGAGGUAAAGGGUCUUCCUUCAUCAUCGCGAGCUAUCCAUGCAAUAGAACCUCUGUUUUUACAUGAAUCCAUUACUUCAUCAAAGUUAAAUUUCGUAACAUUCUUCAGAGGUGGUUUCCAAAUUGAAGGUUGAGAGGGAGAACGAGAUUUAUGGACUGCGUGUUGUAGGCUUUGUUGUGCCAAAAGAAACUCGUCUAAGCUAGUUAUGAUAGUUUAUAAGCUCUAUUCAACAUAAUGCUGGAGAAUUGCCAUUCAAUAAAGAAGAUUGUAGCAUAAGGGGAGAGAUAAUCCAAACCGGCGAGGCUUGCGGAUAGGUGAAGAAAAGAUGGAAAAGAUGGAUAACUGACUCAGGUUCUCCACAAAAUUUACACAUUUCAUCUCGGAGUAAGAUUUUAUGUAGGCGUUCAUUGGUUGGCAAACGAUCCUAUAGAAACUUCCAGAUGAAGAUCGAAAUUUUUGGUGGGAGCUUGAAAGCCCAAAGAUUUUUCAAGCUUGCUCUGGGACUAAGGAGGUAUGACUAAUUGAGGGCCUCAAGGAUAUCUAGGAGAUAGAUGAAUUCAUAUUAAGAGCAACCCAAUAUCCAAAUUUGAUUGUAAGGUCUCGAGAAUUUAUGAAAUGCUAUACUCGCUCGUCUUCUUGACGAAAAAGAUUGAUUGGAAUGGCAAGAAUAUUUGGAAUCUACUCCUCUUCGAAAACUCUUUGAAGUUUUUGAAUGUCCCAAGCAUUUAAGGAGGUAUCUAUCAACUAACGGACCUAAUGCAGCAUUAGAUUAGCAUUAUGUUUGCAUCUUGGUAAAUUAGGGAAAGACUUUUGGAUUCAUCUAUUAAACUGACAUAAAAUUGAUCUCGUUCAUCGUUAACAUUCCAUCUAACCCCUUCUUUCUAGAAUUUGUAGUCCCCAUAAAAUACACUGCCAUAUCCACGAAGGUCUGGCUCCUUGGAACGCCUGCAUAUAAUCAGAAUGAGGGAAAUAUCUGCCUUUAAGAGUACAAGCCACAAGCGAGAAUAGAUUCUUUAAUAAGUUGCCACCCUUGUUUGGCGAGGAGUGCCAUGUUAAACAAUUUGAGGUCUCAGAAAUCCAUACUCCCUUUAAACUUUGGAUGACACAUACUAUGCCACGAUGCCCAAUGGAUCUUUUCACCAAAAAUUUGCCCUCAAGCUAUUGAUGGAUUGACAAAAGGUAGAAGGAAACCGGAAGCAACUCAUAGCAAAAAUCAGAAUGGCCACCGCCACUGCUUUAAUAAGAGUUUCUCUCUACCUCCUUGCAAGAGAAGGUUCCUUUUCCAACCUGCUAUCUUAUUUUGAAUUUUAGCCUAGAUAGAAGCAAAGGUCUGAGAUUUGGAUUUGGAAAUGAUAGUAGGAAGACCUAAAAAACUAUAGAGUCCUCCUAUAUUUGGAAUUUCUAACCAUGAAAAAAUCUCUUCUCUCACUUAAACUGGAGUAUUUGGACUAAAGAAGAUGGUUGACUUGACUAAGUUGACCAUUUGGCCGCUAGCUAUAGAGUAAUUCUGCAAUAUGCUUCUGACCUUUCUUGCUUCACUCAUAUUUGCCCUUGAAAAUUGAAUUGAAUCAUCUGCAAAGAGGAGGUGCUUGAUAGAUGGAAUUCUCUUAGAGAUAACAAUAUCUUCAAUAUCGAAUUGGUGAAUCGAGUGUGAAAGACCUUCGAUACAAAAGAGGUACUGGAAGGGUGAUAAAGGGUUGCCUUGACGAAGUCCUCUAGCCAAUUUAAUCAACUUGGAUCUAUACCCAUUUACUCGUACAAUGUAGGAGACUAUAGAGACACAUUCCAUAACCUAACUAAUCCAUUGUUGAUGAAAGCCCAAACACAUCAGCAUCUGCUUUAAGAAAGUCCAUUCCACAAUAUCAUAGGCCUUGUUGAUGUUCAAUUUUAGAGCAAAACCCCUCUUACCACCCUUACUACGAGUCUUAAGAUAAUGCAUGAUCUUAUGACUAAUGAUAAUAUUGUUUGAGAUCAAUCUCCCUUUAACAAAGGCAUUCUACUCGUUUGUGAUAAGAUGAGGCAUUAGAGGUUGAAGUCUAUGGGUAAGGACAUUAGAUAUAAUCUUGAAAAUAACAUUGAAAAGACUAAUAGGAUGAAGUCCUUCAUUGAAACCACACUUUUCGUUUUGGGGAUUAGAGUGAUUACCGUAUGAUUGACACUCCGAAGCAUCUUUCCACUCUCAAAGAAGUUCUUGACCGCAUAUAUUACCUCCUCUCCUAUAACAUGCUGAUAAUGCUGAAAGAAAUAGCCAGUCAUGCCAUCAUCUCCAGGUAGUUCCUCACCCGGGGGACCCAAGAGGGUGAUAUUUAAAGACAAACUUUGGGUUAAUGAUUCCGACAUCAUUAUGUUUGUCUUUUUGGAUAAGAGAGAGGGAGGUCCUUUGAUAAACAAGUUUAGUGGUAAAAUGGAAAGAGAGUUUGAGGACAAUUUGUUUGGAUUGCUAUUGGGUGUAAAAGGGAGUAAGGCGAGAACUGGAUUACUAGCAGAAAUGGAAAUGGUUGGUUGUGGGGUCUAGAUCUGGGAAGUGGUAAACUCAGAUCGUGAAGAAGUGAAGACUUGCUUGGCCGUCAACAUUGGAGUUGGUAACAACCAUGGCAUAAUUGUGGGUUCAUAAAGUUUACUCUUCGAAGAAGCCUCUCCUUGGUUCAAUGUCCCAGAGGCAUUGAUUUUCCCUGUUCUGAUUAAGGUUGUGGCUUUCAUCCAAUUACCGAACUUGUUUCUACCCUCCCUCAAGCAUGUUCCUUGCUCAGCUAAUUAAACAAUACAAAUUUUAUUGAGGUGGCCCAUCACUCUGCACUUGUAACAUAGGUCUGACAUUUUCUUAUAUUUAAUAGUCACCCAAGAAAUAUUCCCAUCUGGUUUCUUACUAUGGAACUCUGGACAUAGAGGCUUUUUAAUGAAGACAUUAAUUCUAAUUCGAAGAAAAUUAGAAUAGCCUAUUUGUUCAUAGUAGGUAAGAUCCAUUUCAAGAAAUUCCCCCACUAGGUUGCCAAUCGCUUUAAAGCUGAUUAAUUUGAUUAAGGGCCAAAUCAUACGCUUGAAUCCAGAAG